GGGAAAAAAAUUCCUUUACAGCAACCUGAAGCCCAAGGCAGGAAAGCUGAAUUUGCUUCCAUGUAGUUCCAGCACUGAAUGUGCUUUGGCAACAUCUUCCAUAUAUUCCAGAGGCAGGAGGAGGGAGAUGGUUCAGAUUUAGUUGUCAGAGCAGAAGACUCCUCUCCCUCCUUUUUGUCAUCUCAACCAGUCAUGAGGAGGUAAAGUGGAAGGCAUUAGCUUAACAUGAAGAGCUAUGAUUUUCUUCGUUAUCUUCAAAGGAGGCAGCAUCUUGUCACCUGCCAUCUGUUUUACCUGCCAAUUAAGUGGUCCACAGGGAGCCAUACAAGGAGACAGCACCCAGCUGGGCUCAUUGGCACUCUCAGCUGCAGUCCCAAUACAACCAGUUAUGCACAAAUCAGCCCAGAUCCGGCGUGCUGUGUUCCCACCUCCCGAAGGCCUGAAUGACCAGGUUCAGGUAAUGUUUUCGCCAUGGAAUAGUUUUUGAUUCCCCCCACCCCUUACUUUUGCACAAGGCUUUGGAAACUGGGGUGCCCCCCAGCACCUGCAAGGCCUGAGCGCUCCCCUCCGGCUGGGAGGACGGCGGCGGCAGCGCUGGCUGGCACCACCAGGUCCACCCUCCCUCUCUGGAGGUGACCGGUCCUGUGAGUGGUCCCUUACUCUUAAAUAACCUUCCCAGAGAUGUUAAGAAUACACAUAGAGAAUUGGGCACUAUUAGACAAAGCGGAAAGACUUAAUGCUGCCUUAAAAAUCUCAAGGCCUGCUGCAGCAGUGGGGUGACGCUGCAAACCACUGCUGCGCAGAAGGCGAGGACGAGGGCUUUACAAUGGCCUCCUGGUGCUUUGAACUCAGCAGCGCUCCCCAGGUGCCAGCACGACAGCAAGGAGGCCUAAACUUCACAAG
Molecule: long non-coding RNA, 903 nt
Filed under: Struthio camelus australis
Lineage: Eukaryota; Metazoa; Chordata; Aves; Struthioniformes; Struthionidae
Description: lncRNA (ENSSCUG00000018976.1)
Source: RNAcentral